GAAAUACGAAAUUAAUUGCGGGAAGUCAGAUAAAUUAUUAUUGUUAUCAUGUAGGAUGUUUGGUGUUCGUUAUGAACUGUUUUCUGGGCUGGAAUAUCGGAGGAUUGGCUGUAGUUGUUGUUGUUAUAUUACGGAUAUACGGAAAUAAAGAAGUGUAUAUAAGCAUUGGCAUCCGAAUGUAUAUUGGGCUGUUUUGGGAGUAAUUUAAGAAUGAAUUUAAUUCUAGUUUGAUAUGAAAUUGUUGGUAUUAUUGUUGUUGGUAUUUUUAUUGAUGUUUGGCUAAGUUGGAAUUUCGAGGAUUGUUAAGUUUACAGGGGAAAUGCUGCCCGAAUUUUGUUAAGUUUCAUUCGUACUUGGAUUGGUUAGUAAGUGAUGUGGAUAAUCUAACUGUGGCCUAUGUUAUCUUAAUUUUAGACCUGCGAGCUCGAGAAGUAGACGUUGGACAUUAGAUAGAGUUCAAGGUAGACAGGGAGGUGAGCUUGAUCCAGAUUCUUAGUAGCUGUCAGCUGAUUGAGAGCACUCCAUUGUUCGGAGGUGCUUAUGUUUAUUCUUUUGGUUCCUUUAUGUAUUUCGCACACGACGGAGUCCUGUUCCGUCUAUAUGUAUAAUAUGUCAGUAGAGGCUCGUAGACGCGCAGUGUGGGUUAGAUGGUCUCACAAGAUGUUAUAUUUGUAUAUGUUAUUUUGAUGGCCGAGAGGCAAAUGUAUAUAAGUAUUUAUGUUUCUAUAUAAAAUAUGAUUUUCCUACAA
Molecule: long non-coding RNA, 749 nt
Organism: Lycium barbarum (goji berry)
Lineage: Eukaryota; Viridiplantae; Streptophyta; Magnoliopsida; Solanales; Solanaceae
Exons: 2
Source: RefSeq, a predicted model, not a curated record